GAUGAACGCUGACAGAAUGCUUAACACAUGCAAGUCUACUUGAUCCUUCGGGUGAUGGUGGCGGACGGGUGAGUAACGCGUAAAGAACUUGCCCUGCAGUCUGGGACAACAUUUGGAAACGAAUGCUAAUACCGGAUAUUAUGUGAGUUUCGCAUGAAAUUCAUAUGAAAGCUAUAUGCGCUGCAGGAGAGCUUUGCGUCCUAUUAGCUAGUUGGUGAGGUAACGGCCCACCAAGGCGACGAUCGGUAGCCGGACUGAGAGGUUGAACGGCCACAUUGGGACUGAGACACGGCCCAG
This 297-nucleotide ribosomal RNA is filed under the name uncultured bacterium. RNAcentral's name for it is "partial 16S ribosomal RNA". It matches the Rfam family "Bacterial small subunit ribosomal RNA", at positions 28 to 334 of the family's 1533-position model. The record is from RNAcentral.